UUUAACCCAUAUAUUAAUGGGCCAAUAAGGAUUUCAGCCCACUAAAUACAAUUAUUGGCCAUCUUGUGUUAAGCCUAGUUAUGUUUACACUCCAUUAGGACCGGUACACCUUUUGCCCAUACGGUUUAAUACGUACCAGUAGACCACUAAUUUUGUGUAAGUAACACAUUUUGAUACGAUGCAUUCUUUAACAUUUCUGUUAAUAUUUAAUAGAAGACAAAUUACAAAAACAAACAUUACAACCAGGAACAUAAGCCAAAUGGAUCCCUGUAAAGAUAAAAAGAAAUUACAAGCAAGCCCCAAACACCCCCAGACAUGGCCGCUCGUCCGCUCGCUUUUUGCAGGUCCACCACAACCCAUCUUCCAUAGUGCACGACUCAACUCUGGUGACCUCGGUGGCAAUUUAUAUAGUAUCCAAAUAUCAUAGGGGAACAUGGUCAUCCAGAUUUGCGAUGCAACAACAUACCAGUAGCCUACAAAAAAUGGUCCUUUAGAAUCCAAUAACACCAAAUUAUAAUCAUCACUAGUGAUCAUAAUUUAAACAGAGUAGUGUACACAUAAAAAAGUUGCAUAUAAGUAUUUUUACUAAAGUUAGGGCGACAUAACUGAUAUGUAGUGAAACACAGAUAUGGUUGUGUCAAGGAUAAAAAUAAAAUUACGUUAGAAUUUGUUCACUAAAGUAUGUUUACGAACAGUUUUGUGAUUUAUCACUUACUUUCUCACAAUGGCAUAUUCACUACAGCCCGAACAGUUUUGUGAUUUAUCACUUACUUUCUCACAAUGGCAUAUUAUGGUUAUUCACAAAUGAAAAGGAACCACAAAUUCCGUGGAAACACCUUACAAAUAUUUAUACACUACAUAAGAAUGUAUCCAUCCUUCUGGUUAAUUAUUUUCUUAUUCCAAAUCUCCUCUACAAAUGAUCUUUUUUCUACAGUGAUAUGGAAAAGCUACUGUAUACUUACGGUCCCUCCUAGUAAGUGAAUAAUAUACUAACAUGUCAAUAGGUAAGGUGUUCUUUCCUCCCUUUUCUAAGUAUCACCUACCCUGAAGGAGAUGCUCAAAUAGACGGAAGUUAUAAUCCACAUGUAUGGUCUUCAUUAUCACAUUCUAGCACAGAAUAAAACAUCCGAAGAAAAUAUUCAGAAUGUACAAUCUGCAUGUAUAAAGACAUGUAUGAAUAUCACUGAACCAAGCACAUAUAUGCAGCAAAGUAUAUACUCGUACAUGGAAAAUACCUACAGGACGAAAUAUAGCAUAUUUUCAUAUUGCCAUCAGGGAACACAUAAUGGACACUUCCAAGCAGAAUAAACUAAAAAUAACAAUAUAAUAAUUGAUUUGAUUUUUUAAACAACUUGUUUAUAUCUUAUAGUUGACAGGUUUAUGGCAUAACUGUCUUGGUACUGCACAUUUAUAAUAUUCUUGAGGCAGUCAUCUGAAAAAAGGAAACACUCUUUAUUAAUUUUGCUACUGCCUAGAAGUUGGCACACUGCCAAGACAUUUACUCGAACCUCAAAUGACACCCACAAACUAAUCUGAUGCCAAUUGCCCCAUUUAGCGUACAAAUGAAAAACAGUAAGGAUCAGGAGUAGGCACCAACAGCUUGCAAUACAAUGCGUUUUUAUGAUGCAUGUAUCAGAGGCAGUAAGGAUGAAAAACAAUAAGGAUCAUAAAAUAGCUACAGUAGAAGAGAAAGACAUUUUGGAGGCCGAGCUACAUGAUCUCAGAAUCACAACCCACUAUCUGGCCUUUGCUAUGGGUGCGCCUGUGUCUUUCUUUGUUAUAUGUGAUUAAUCUAUUUGAUAUACAAAGGUGCCAUGUGCAGGUGUGCUCGCUAUUGUUUUCAAACACGAUAACCUUUUUGAAUCACACGAUGAGCAUUUUUAAGUGCACUUCAAACAAUUGAUAUUUUUUAAUACACGAUGUUCUUUAACAUGAGAUGUACAUUUUAAUACAUGACAUACAAUUUAAGAUACAGUGAGCAUUUUUUAAAUACGUGAUGAAUGUUUUUUUUUGAAAAAUACAAUGAAAAUUUACAAAUUACACGACGAAUAUUUUUAAAUAACAUGAUGAAUAAUUGUAAGACACAAUUUAAAUACACAAAAAUUUCUGCAGUAGCUGGAAAGAUGAAUACAAUGCAUUUACUAUGGUCCAUAACGCGAGACUCGAACAUGAAAUUAUUGCUGUUGGCAUGUUUCACCGCCGGGUGUGGUGGGCUGGCCUAGUUCAGGUGGCAUGAAACUGUUCACAUAAGUGGAUUACAAAGACCCCUAAAACGCUGGCAGGUGCGGUGGGCUGGCCUAGUUCAGGUGGCAUGAAACUGUUCACAUAAGUGGAUUACAAAGACCCCUAAAACGCUGGCAGGUGCGGUGGGCUGGCCUAGUUCAGGUGGCAUGAAACUGUUCACAUAAGUGGAUUACAAAGAUCCCUAAAACGCUGGCAGGUGCAACACCUGAGAUACGCCUCUGCGUUAUAGAUCCCAAGACAGCAGAACGAACCAGAUCAAACUAUAAUUUAACUAUAUCCAAAUACGCAUUCAGUCAUCACCAUAAAUGGGGCAUUCCAAAACAAUAUUGCUAUAGUGCAGUGUGGAGUUCCAAUUGAGGUGUGCCCUAAAGUUAAUCAAUUGGACGAACACACUAACAAGGUUCAGCGGCAAGUAGUUGUACAACUACAUCUCUCCCCGUCUCCGUCCCUUAGAACACACUAACAAGGUUCAGCAGCAGACGAUGGACUAGGAGGUGAACGCCUGCAGCCGUACAUUGCACAGUGGCAGCACCGUCCAGCCCUCGAGGAGGGCAAUUCGCUUCCUUGUCGCCUCUAUGAGUGUGCGACGGAGGGGAAGCAGCAGUCCCUACCACGGCGUGACCGGCGAGGGACGACGACGUGAGAGGGGUGGUGGUGGUGGUUGGCGUCCCUGGUUGAGGCUGGGGACUUGCGAACAGAUCCGGGAAGGAUACCCCGGCGACAAGAUCCACGAGCAGAUGGACGGGGAGGAGAGGAUGGGCAUGUCGGCAUGGAUCUGGUGAGAGGCGCGUGGGGAAGGAGCUGAGAUCUAUGGUGCCUCGGUCCGAAAUUGGGGGAUUA
RNAcentral lists this long non-coding RNA (3084 nucleotides) under Hordeum vulgare. RNAcentral's name for it is "long non-coding RNA (HVUL_LNC011353)". The record is from RNAcentral. Lineage: Eukaryota; Viridiplantae; Streptophyta; Magnoliopsida; Poales; Poaceae.